AGGUGGCGUAGUGGUUCAGAAGAUGCUCUGCUUUUUCCAUUGAUAAGUGUUUUUCUCUGUUUGUUUUGCUCUGAAAUCCUAUGAAUGUGCCUUCUUCAGGUAAAAUUUGAUACGUAAAUGUACAUUAAGAUAUGAUCUAGGAUGUGCAGUACAUGCUUUUCCAACAUUGAUGUCAUCCUUCGUGGCCAUGUCGCAGCUUCCCAACAGAAAGCCCAGCCGAGAGGAGACACUCAGGAGUGAUAUCUGGAUCUUGGUGGAAUUGUUUGGGGCCUCAAUGCAUCAUUCUCUGUCACAACUAGCAUUGUUCAACAAAUUCACCACAGGUGGAAGUCAUAUCUUCUACUGCAUGAUUUUUAUAAACAUUUUUUGCCCUGUCGUGCCUCUGGAAAAGAGUGAUUUCACCGAUUCCAUACUCUUUUCCUCCUGACGAUGCGAGUGUGGAGGUGAAGGAUGGGAAAUGAAUCAUGUCCACAGCCGGGUGAUCUUCCAGAAAAAGUAAGAGAGACACAAUGUAUAGUGAAGAGAAACAUGACAAGAAGCCAGGGAUUUUGCAACAUUUUCCACAGAAUCGAUCUGAACAUCGUUCAAUCAUGUUCCAAUUUGCUCUCAAGAGACAAGCUACUGAGAAUUUUAUUCAACUCUUCAUCCUUUGGCGGAAUCUAUCUUUUUCACCUUGUUCAUCUCACAUUGCGGCGGACGGGUCUUUGUUUUGGACAUGAGAGCGUUGCUCAUGUAACUUAACACACAAAUUUGUGCCAAAAUACAAG
Molecule: long non-coding RNA, 767 nt
Organism: Phlebotomus argentipes
Lineage: Eukaryota; Metazoa; Arthropoda; Insecta; Diptera; Psychodidae
Exons: 3
Source: RefSeq, a predicted model, not a curated record